UACAGGGGGGGCAAGCGUUGUUCGGAAUUACUGGGCGUAAAGGGCUCGUAGGCGGCCAACUAAGUCGGACGUGAAAUCCCCAGGCUCAACCUGGGAACUGCGUCCGAUACUGGAUGGCUUGAAUUCGGGAGAGGGAUGCAGAAUUCCAGGUGUAGCGGUGAAAUGCGUAGAUAUCUGGAGGAAUACCGGUGGCGAAGGCGGCAUCCUGGACCGACAUUGACGCUGAUGAGCGAAAGCUAGGGGAGCAAACGGG
This 253-nucleotide ribosomal RNA is filed under the name uncultured bacterium. Its description in RNAcentral is "partial 16S ribosomal RNA". It matches the Rfam family "Bacterial small subunit ribosomal RNA", at positions 524 to 776 of the family's 1533-position model. The record is from RNAcentral.